GGUCUGUACACUAACAUGCUGCAGCACUGGACAGUUCCACUGACAACCAGGCUAAUAUUAUAAAAAUAACAACACUGAAAUAGUUGACCAUGGUGUGUACAGCGAUUUACUGUCUGGCUAAAGAACUCAAUAAGCCCUCGUCUGACCAGGUAAUGUCAAUGGGUAGGGGUAAUGGAGCCCUGAGGUAACACCAUGGGUAGGGGUAAUGGAGCCCUGAGGUAACACCAUGGGUAGGGGUAAUGGAGACCUGUAGGGCUGAGGUAACACCAUGGGUAAUGGAGACCUGUAGGGCUGAGGUAAUGGAGACCUGUAGGGCUGAGGUAAUGGAGACCUGUAGGGCUGAGGUAACACCAUGGGUAAUGGAGACCUGUAGGGCUGAGGUAACACCAUGGGUAGGGGUAAUGGAGGCCUGUAGGGCUGAGGUAAUGGAGACCUGUAGGGCUGAGGUAACACCAUGGGUAAUGGAGACCUGUAGGGCUGAGGUAACACCAUGGGUAGAGGUAAUGGAGACCUGUAGGGCUGAGGUAAUGGAGACCUGUAGGGCUGAGGUAACACCAUGGGUAAUGGAGACCUGUAGGGCUGAGGUAACACCAUGGGUAGGGGUAAUGGAGACCUGUAGGGCUGAGGUAAUGGAGGCCUGUAGGGCUGAGGUAACACCAUUCCAAGUAACUGAAAACAGUCUGUACCUACAGAACAAGGACUGGUGGUGUCUGUCCACACAUCUACACUUCUAGAGUACAACACCCUCCAUCUACCCACCCAUCCCUAUUUCUAUCCCUUACUCACUCCCUCCAUCUACCCCUCCCUAUUUCUAUCCCUUACUCACUCCCUCCACCCAGCCCUCCCCC
This 848-nucleotide long non-coding RNA is filed under the name Salmo salar (Atlantic salmon). RNAcentral describes it as "lncRNA (ENSSSAG00000082137.1)". The record is from RNAcentral. Lineage: Eukaryota; Metazoa; Chordata; Actinopteri; Salmoniformes; Salmonidae.